RNAcentral lists this long non-coding RNA (639 nucleotides) under Rattus norvegicus (Norway rat). Its description in RNAcentral is "long non-coding RNA NONRATT014769". The record is from RNAcentral. Lineage: Eukaryota; Metazoa; Chordata; Mammalia; Rodentia; Muridae.
CGGCGUUGAGGAGUGGCAGUCCGGCUCAUUUGUGUCCCCGGGAUCAGGAUGGACUUCCCCAGCACCCUGCGUCCUUCGUUGUUUAUGGCCGGUCCUCUUGGCAUGACUGAUGGCCCCGACUUGUCCUUCAUGUGCAGCUGGAGAGAUGCACUGACCCUGCCAGGGGCCCAGCCACAGAACUGCAGGGACCAGACAUCGUCCUUUGCCAAGAACCUGCUGUGGGAGCCAUCGACACCAGGACCCCUGCCCCUGGUGCCUCCUGGCCCUGGUAAGAGUCUCUCUCCUUCUGGGCUCCCUCCAAGGACCUUAGCCAUCGCAUGGACAAGGGGAUCCCAGAUUGCAGAUACCUCCCUAUUCCCUCUCAGGUUCUUCUCUGACUUCCUUCUCCCCUUAGAUCCCUGGGACCCUGGUCUGGCAGCUCAGGACUUCCUCUUCCGGGGAGGUCACUACUACCAGUACCAGUCUCGAGUUGUGCUGGAUGUCACUGAGCAGGUAAACGGUCUCUGGGUGGGACUGUUUCUCACAGCCUGAGCUAUGCUGACUCACACAGCCAUUCCCCACAGCUCAGCCGCUUCCUGUGGGACCAUGGGGAUAUAGCCUUUGCACCCCUGGGGAAACUCAUGCUGGAGAACUUCAGAU